Molecule: ribosomal RNA, 234 nt
Filed under: uncultured Massilia sp.
Lineage: Bacteria; Pseudomonadati; Pseudomonadota; Betaproteobacteria; Burkholderiales; Oxalobacteraceae
Description: partial 16S ribosomal RNA
Rfam family: Bacterial small subunit ribosomal RNA
Source: RNAcentral
GGAGUGGGGGGAUAACCGUAGCGAAAGUUACGCUAAUACCGCAUACGAUCUAAUGGAGGAAAGUGGGGGCUUCGCAAGAACCUCAUGCUCCUGGAGCGGCCGAUAUCUGAUUAGCUAGUUGGUAGGGUAAAAGCCUACCAAGGCUUCGAUCAGUAGCUGGUCUGAGAGGACGACCAGCCACACUGGAACUGAGACACGGUCCGACUCCUACGGGAGGCAGCAGUGGGGAAUUUU